UGCUCCCUCCCCUCCCACCUGCCUCUGCACCGCCGAGGUGGAGGGCAGGCGGGAGCUGUG
Molecule: microRNA precursor, 60 nt
Filed under: Ictidomys tridecemlineatus (thirteen-lined ground squirrel)
Lineage: Eukaryota; Metazoa; Chordata; Mammalia; Rodentia; Sciuridae
Description: miRNA (ENSSTOG00000030287.1)
Source: RNAcentral